GACGAACGCUGGCGGCGUGCUUAACACAUGCAAGUCGAACGGUGAAGCGCCUUCCUUUUUGGCGGGUGUGGAGGAGGGGCGAACGGGGGAGUAACACGUGAGUAACCUGCCCCCUUCUGCUGGAUAACCGCAUGAAAGUGUGGCUAAUACGGGAUAUUCCGGACCUGUCGCAUGAUGGGUUUGGGAGAGCUUUUGUGUCGGUAGGGGACGGUCUCGGGGCCUCUCAGCUUGUUGGUGGGGGGAUGGCCUACCAAGGCGGCGGCGCCGAGCCGGCCGGAGAGGAGGGUCGGCGGCACCAGUGGGGAGGCAAGACCGCGACGCCUACUGCGGGAAGCAGCAGUGGAGAAUAGUGCACGGUGGGAAGCAGGAUGAUGCAGCGACGCCGCGUGGAGGAUGGAGGCCUGCGGGUUGUGAACCUCUGUCGGGAGAGAAGCAGGGCUGGCUCAUUUGUGGGUGUGUUGACGGUAGCUGGAUAAGAAGCGCCGGCUAACUACGUG
This 497-nucleotide ribosomal RNA is filed under the name uncultured bacterium. RNAcentral describes it as "partial 16S ribosomal RNA". It matches the Rfam family "Bacterial small subunit ribosomal RNA", at positions 28 to 507 of the family's 1533-position model. The record is from RNAcentral.